Molecule: ribosomal RNA, 638 nt
Filed under: uncultured Methanoculleus sp.
Lineage: Archaea; Methanobacteriati; Methanobacteriota; Methanomicrobia; Methanomicrobiales; Methanomicrobiaceae
Description: bacterial SSU rRNA
Rfam family: Archaeal small subunit ribosomal RNA
Source: RNAcentral
GCGCGAAAACUUUACAAUGCGGGCAACCGUGAUAAGGGAACCUCGAGUGCCUGUAUAUGCAGGCUGUCUGGGUGUCUAAAACACACCUAAAGAAAGGGCCGGGCAAGACCGGUGCCAGCCGCCGCGGUAAUACCGGCGGCUCGAGUGGUGGCCACUUUUAUUGGGCUUAAAGCGUUCGUAGCUGGGUUAUUAAGUCCCUUGGGAAAUCCGACGGCUUAACCGUCGGGCGUCUAAGGGAUACUGGCAAUCUUAGAACCGGGAGAGGUGAGGGGUACUUCGGGGGUAGGAGUGAAAUCCUGUAAUCCUCGAGGGACCACCUGUGGCGAAGGCGCCUCACCAGAACGGCUUCGACAGUGAGGGACGAAAGCUGGGGGAGCAAACCGGAUUAGAUACCCGGGUAGUCCCAGCCGUAAACGAUGUGCGUUAGGUGUAUCGGUGACCACGAGUCACCGAGGUGCCGAAGGGAAACCGUGAAACGUACCGCCUGGGAAGUACGGUCGCAAGGCUGAAACUUAAAGGAAUUGGCGGGGGAGCACCACAACAGGUGGAGCCUGCGGUUUAAUUGGACUCAACGCCGGAAAUCUCACCGGAUAAGACAGCUGAAUGAUUGUCGGGCUGAAGACUCUACAUGACUAGCU